This 816-nucleotide ribosomal RNA is filed under the name uncultured bacterium. RNAcentral's name for it is "bacterial SSU rRNA". It matches the Rfam family "Bacterial small subunit ribosomal RNA", at positions 66 to 880 of the family's 1533-position model. The record is from RNAcentral.
ACGAUGAACUGGCGCUUGCGUCGGGGAUUAGUGGCGAACGGGUGAGUAACACGUGAGUAACCUGCCCCUAACUCUGGGAUAAGCCUGGGAAACUGGGUCUAAUACUGGAUAUUGACUUUUCCUCGCAUGGGGUUUGGUUGAAAGAUUUUUUGGUUUUGGAUGGACUCGCGGCCUAUCAGCUUGUUGGUAUGGGUAAUGGCCUACCAAGGCGACGACGGGUAGCCGGCCUGAGAGGGUGACCGGCCACACUGGGACUGAGACACGGCCCAGACUCCUACGGGAGGCAGCAGUGGGGAAUAUUGCACAAUGGGCGAAAGCCUGAUGCAGCGACGCCGCGUGAGGGAUGACGGCCUUCGGGUUGUAAACCUCUUUCAGUAGGGAACAAGGCCACACGUUGUGUGGUUGAGGGUACUUGCAGAAGAAGCGCCGGCUAACUACGUGCCAGCAGCCGCGGUAAUACGUAGGGCGCAAGCGUUAUCCGGAAUUAUUGGGCGUAAAGAGCUCGUAGGCGGUUUGUCGCGUCUGCCGUGAAAGUCCGGGGCUCAACUCCGGAUCUGCGGUGGGUACGGGCAGACUAGAGUGAUGUAGGGGAGACUGGAAUUCCUGGUGUAGCGGUGAAAUGCGCAGAUAUCAGGAGGAACACCGAUGGCGAAGGCAGGUCUCUGGGCAUUAACUGACGCUGAGGAGCGAAAGCAUGGGGAGCGAACAGGAUUAGAUACCCUGGUAGUCCAUGCCGUANACGUUGGGCACUAGGUGUGGGGGACAUUNCACGUUUUCCGCGCCGUAGCUAACGCAUUAAGUGCCCCGCCUGGGGAG